Molecule: long non-coding RNA, 321 nt
Filed under: Lepisosteus oculatus (spotted gar)
Lineage: Eukaryota; Metazoa; Chordata; Actinopteri; Semionotiformes; Lepisosteidae
Description: lncRNA (ENSLOCG00000023238.1)
Source: RNAcentral
AAAAUGCAUGCAGGCUUUGGAGGCUAACCAAUUUCAGUUUCCAAAAUGGUUUCCUGGCACCGUCUAACAAUGUCAUAGAUUCCUGUUUAUCAGCAUUUAUUCCAUCCCUGUUUCCCCAUCAUCCCCACACCUGAAGAAUCCCUUUGGAUCUUAAUAAGAAAAGGAUUUGAUUAAAUGCAGCACUGCUGCCAUGUGCCCGUUGUAACAAGCAAAAUUGCAAGCAGUGAAACAAGGGUUUUCAAUUUACAACUAAUGGCUUUUGUGGAGCUGCAGCUAUUUUACAUCACGAUGCAAUAUACUUAUACGCAGGUGGUUGAAUAA